This 490-nucleotide ribosomal RNA is filed under the name uncultured bacterium. RNAcentral describes it as "partial 16S ribosomal RNA". It matches the Rfam family "Bacterial small subunit ribosomal RNA", at positions 29 to 505 of the family's 1533-position model. The record is from RNAcentral.
AGUGAACGCUGGCGGUAGGCCUAACACAUGCAAGUCGAACGGCAGCACAGUAAGAGCUUGCUCUUACGGGUGGCGAGUGGCGGACGGGUGAGGAAUACAUCGGAAUCUACUUUUUCGUGGGGGAUAACGUAGGGAAACUUACGCUAAUACCGCAUACGACCUACGGGUGAAAGCAGGGGAUCUUCGGACCUUGCGCGAUUGAAUGAGCCGAUGUCGGAUUAGCUAGUUGGCGGGGUAAAGGCCCACCAAGGCGACGAUCCGUAGCUGGUCUGAGAGGAUGAUCAGCCACACUGGAACUGAGACACGGUCCAGCCUCCUACGGGAGGCAGCAGUGGCGAAUAUUGGAGAAUGGGCGCAAGCCUGAUCCAGCCAUACCGCGUGGGUGAAGAAGGCCUUCGGGUUGUAAAGCCCUUUUGUUGGGAAAGAAAAGCAGCAGGUUAAUACCCCGCUGUUCUGACGGUACCCAAAGAAUAAGCACCGGCUAACUUCG